This 429-nucleotide ribosomal RNA is filed under the name Chloroflexota bacterium. Its description in RNAcentral is "Chloroflexi bacterium partial 16S ribosomal RNA". It matches the Rfam family "Bacterial small subunit ribosomal RNA", at positions 355 to 776 of the family's 1533-position model. The record is from RNAcentral. Lineage: Bacteria; Bacillati; Chloroflexota.
UGGGGAAUAUUGCACAAUGGGCACAAGCCUGAUGCAGCCAUGCCGCGUGUGUGAAGAAGGCCUUCGGGUUGUAAAGCACUUUCAGCGGGGAGGAAGGCGUUAAGGUUAAUAACCUUGGCGAUUGACGUUACCCGCAGAAGAAGCACCGGCUAACUCCGUGCCAGCAGCCGCGGUAAUACGGAGGGUGCAAGCGUUAAUCGGAAUUACUGGGCGUAAAGCGCACGCAGGCGGUCUGUCAAGUCGGAUGUGAAAUCCCCGGGCUCAACCUGGGAACUGCAUUCGAAACUGGCAGGCUAGAGUCUUGUAGAGGGGGGUAGAAUUCCAGGUGUAGCGGUGGAAUGCGUAGAGAUCUGGAGGAAUACCGGUGGCGAAGGCGGCCCCCUGGACGAAGACUGACGCUAAGGUGCGAAAGCGUGGGGAGCAAACAGG